RNAcentral lists this long non-coding RNA (340 nucleotides) under Nicotiana benthamiana. Its description in RNAcentral is "long non-coding RNA (NBEN_LNC035525)". Lineage: Eukaryota; Viridiplantae; Streptophyta; Magnoliopsida; Solanales; Solanaceae. The record is from RNAcentral.
AGGGGGCCUCGUUCCUAAAAAGCCUUUCCGAUUGCCCCCGCCCCUAUCUCUUAAAGCUACGGCAUCCCACCGAUCCCCGAAUCGGCUCUGCUAGUUGGCUUUGUUGCUAUCAAGGCAUAGCAUUCUAUGGACUCUUUCCCACGUCCAGAAAUGGUAUGCCAACAAACACCUUUUCUCCUUAGCCAACCAAAGUCUUCUGAUGGCAAUAACCGCGUUUCCCGUUAAAAGUAAAGCGGUGUUCUCUCUACGCAGGUAGAACCCUACUCGUAUUACCAAGGUCUUCCGAGUAGGAUAUGUAAUACGUCCAUAAGGACGACGUCACACCAGACGUCCUGCUUUA